RNAcentral lists this long non-coding RNA (1597 nucleotides) under Olea europaea subsp. europaea. The record is from RNAcentral. Lineage: Eukaryota; Viridiplantae; Streptophyta; Magnoliopsida; Lamiales; Oleaceae.
AAAUCAACUUCGUUCCAUCAAUAGGUCUCCAUCCAAACCCAAAAAGAAAAAACCAGGACCACCCAUUUGUCGGACACCGCCACCCAACCCACCGUCUACUGCUGCCUCGACUGUCACCAUCCAUCUGGUUACAGAAGGCUGACUUCUGGCUCGAGAGUAGCUCUCAAAAAGGAGAAAAAAAAGGAACAAACACAAAUGAGAUUUUGACAGUCUUGUCCCAUUUCUUGCUUAUCUAUCCAUUUGAAUCCCAUUUCGACUGUCUAGAAGCUCUCCGAUUCAUUGGUUCUGUCAACUCCUACUUUAAUAGACUUAAAGGACUUUGGGAGGAACUCAAAAAUUAUAGGCCAAAUGUCAAUAAUACUGAUUAUAAAUUUGAGGAUCAGAUUAAGCAAUUUCUCAUGGGGUUAGAUGAACAAUUCUCUAAUGUGAGGAGUCAGAUCUUGCUGAUGGAUCCACUGCCUUCACUCAAUAAGGUAUUUCUUUAAUUCUGCAAGAUGAAAGACAACAAGAUGUUGUGGCUAAGAAACAACAAAAUUUUGAUGCUGCUAUAUUUGCUAGUAAAAUGAUCCACAGCUCUUUUGGUAAUUAAAGAACCAACUCGUUUAACCAAUUGUAGAAAAAAGGAUAGGCCUAUAUGCAGUUACUAUGGAAUGCUUGGACACCUUAAAAGUAAAUGCUGCAAGCUGAGUGGCUACCCUCCUGGUCAUAGACUGGCUAAAGGGAAAGCUCCAGUUGCUAUUGAUGUUAGUUCAGUACCUCACAACACAAGUUCAGACAAAAUAAGUUCCUUGUCAAACGUCACUAUUACUCCAGGACAAUAUCAACAAAUCUAGGCCAUGCUAGCUCCACAACUACAAGGACAUAUCUCUGUUGGAAAUCAGCAAACUCAAGAAUUGAUUUCUUCAUCUCCUCAAGUGCCUACUGCAUUUGUUUUCUCAAGUAGAUUGCAUAUGUUUUAAUGUUUCCACAGUUGCUGAUAAGUGGAUUAUGGAUACAGGAGCCUCAGAACAUAUAGUCUGUUCCAUUAACGACUUAACAACCAUGAUAGCAAAAAUUGAAGCAUCUAUGAGAUUACCAAAUGGUGAAGUUGCUACAGCCACACAUUUUGGUACAGUGAAGUUGUUUGACACUUUAAUUUUGACAAAAGUCCUAGUUGUGCCUUGUUUCCAGUUUAAUUUGAUUUCUGCUAGCAAGUUGAUACUUCAGCACAGAUGUUGUAUAAUAUUCAUGGAUCAUCAUUGUUUUAUACAGGAUCUUUCAACAUGGAGGACGAUUGGGAUAUAUAGGCUCGAAGAUGGCUUAUACCACCUUCAGCAAUUUGAAUACUAGUGUAAUGAAUCUCCAUGUUUCCCUCAACAACUCACAUCAGCUUCAAAUAUUUCUUCUAGCAUUAGUCACAUUCCUAUUCACAUUUGCAAUGUAUUAAUUCAAACUCUAUUGUGUGUAAUUCUAUCAGUAAUAUUGCUGCUGACAUUGACAUUUGGCAUUGUCGUUUAGGGCACAUUUCCAUCUCGAAAUUGUCAUUUUUACAUAAAAUUGUUCCCACAAUUACUUUCAAUGAGCAUUUGCAUUAUCCAAUAUGUCCUAUGGCCAAACA